GAUGAACGCUGGCGGCGUGCCUAAUACAUGCAAGUCGAGCGAACAGACGAGGAGCUUGCUCCUCUGACGUUAGCGGCGGACGGGUGAGUAACACGUGGAUAACCUACCUAUAAGACUGGGAUAACUUCGGGAAACCGGAGCUAAUACCGGAUAAUAUAUUGAACCGCAUGGUUCAAUAGUGAAAGACGGUUUUGCUGUCACUUAUAGAUGGAUCCGCGCCGCAUUAGCUAGUUGGUAAGGUAACGGCUUACCAAGGCAACGAUGCGUAGCCGACCUGAGAGGGUGAUCGGCCACACUGGAACUGAGACACGGUCCAGACUCCUACGGGAGGCAGCAGUAGGGAAUCUUCCGCAAUGGGCGAAAGCCUGACGGAGCAACGCCGCGUGAGUGAUGAAGGUCUUCGGAUCGUAAAACUCUGUUAUUAGGGAAGAACAAAUGUGUAAGUAACGAUGCACGUCUUGACGGUACCUAAGCAGAAAGCCACGGCUAACUACGUGC
This 498-nucleotide ribosomal RNA is filed under the name uncultured bacterium. RNAcentral's name for it is "partial 16S ribosomal RNA". It matches the Rfam family "Bacterial small subunit ribosomal RNA", at positions 28 to 508 of the family's 1533-position model. The record is from RNAcentral.